GUCUGAAACAUUGCAAAGACAUAGGAAUUCAUAGUCCUGCACUUUGAUACAAACAUCGAUUCCUUGCUUUCAAUUUUUUCAGACGUAAUGAUGCAUCUGCCUCUUUAACUAGGACUAAAUUAAUUUUUCUAUGGUGCAUGCAUUCGGGUAGGAAGGUGAAUUUAAGCUAUUGGUUUGCUAUUCAGUUUCAGCAUAUUUUACGGUCGAAUUGGCCACUAAUUUUGGGUACUUACAUCACACGUUUAGCCUCUAAUUUGAAUCCAUCAACUAUCAAUUUUAGUUCUUUGAAAUUGGCAUACAAAACAGACUCUUUAGAUUCAUACUACUUGGAUUCUAUGGGGUUACUUGCCGGUACCCCUUCUUCUUUUUACUUUGUCCCUCCAAGUACAAGGACGGAUCGGCCACAUAGAGUGUUUCGACGAAGACAGUAGCAUGGAACAGAGCCUCCCACAUCUUUCGAAACUCGAUAAACC
RNAcentral lists this long non-coding RNA (473 nucleotides) under Gossypium barbadense (sea-island cotton). RNAcentral describes it as "long non-coding RNA (GBAR_LNC016558)". Lineage: Eukaryota; Viridiplantae; Streptophyta; Magnoliopsida; Malvales; Malvaceae. The record is from RNAcentral.